AAACCAGUCCGCUGUUCUGCUCCGUCCCGUUCAAUCUCAAGACUCCUCUCUCUCUAAAUAAAGAGAUGUCUCCCGACCCGACCUAACCUGCUGCUGGCUGCCCAGUGCCCACACACAGACACGCGCGCACGCACACACACACACACACACAUAGUCGCGCGCGCAAUAACAUCACAAGUCCGUAGCCUACCUUCCGUGUGACAGCUGGAGGAGAGGAUGGUGCUUGAGGGUCUGAAGAGGUAUACAGACGAGGAGGCAUACAAAGGUAUGUCAAUUGGUAUUUGGAAUAUUAUGCAGAUCACAUUUACCAUCCUCCCUUACCUCUUCAAUGAAUAUCCCAUAGGCCUCUACAUUAUGGACAAGACUUCACCCUCCCUACACCUCUGAUGAAUAUAACAGGAAACCUGUACGAUCACCAUGCACUGCAAAAUCAUUCUGGCUGUGGAUAAGGAGAACAUCAACACAUUAACAUCAACACACCAGAGGAUAUACCCAUUGGAUGUGGGUCUCUGCUGGGAGUUUACCUCAUAUUUGGAUUUUUAAAUUCUGCUUUACCACUAAAAUCAUAAGAAACACUGACAACUAAAAUAUUGUGCUAUUGUUGUUAUUGUUAUGUGUAUUAUUAUUAACAAUAAUAAUAAUAAUAGGGGGGGUAGUUAAAAAAUCUACCCCGAAAGGUUCUUUGAGGAACCAUUAAAAAAGGCAUUCUUUGAAGAAUCCUUUCUUUUAAAUGACUAAAUGUUGUUGUGAUCCUGUUGUGGACGCAAUUUAGUUUAUUUCGUUCAAACAAUCCUGUUUUUAAGCUCAAAAGACUGCACUCUCGGGAGAAUUUAAUAAUAAGAGAGAUGGACCGGCUCUCUCGUGGGACUCCUCUGAAAACACAGCAUAUGGCCAGCUACUGAUGAUGUUAUACAAGCAGGCUGUCUACUGGAGGCAUUAGAGUGGCAUGGGGUGCAUCUCUCCUGAGUCAUUAAAGGUGUGUGGUGUGUGGCAGCCACCCAGAUGUGUCCUUUAUUGGAGUGCAGUAUUGAAUAAUGACAUCCUACAAACAAUGACCAUGCAACGAGCAACUUUUUAUUCUCUGAAAGGCUUCUAUAUCAUUGUUUGAAACAUUACGCCAUAGGAAACUGCAACCAUUUAUAACUGUGGUACACCCAGUGUACAUAACGCAAAUAAUCUUGUCGGUCACAGAAAAUGAUCGAAUCCAACGAAGCAUAUGAUAAGGUGAUUAACUCUCUCCUCAGAGAGGAAUAGUCAUCACCAUCAUUAGUAGCUUGACACCACCACACACACCCUGGUGGGGAUCCAUCUACUAGGCUCUCAGGACUGGGUUUCCCCUACUGAUUAACAGGCAGAUCCAGUUCCCAUCAUUACUAAUGUAACAUUUUUUUUCCUAUUCUCCAGGGUGUGUCAGAAUCUGUCUGUUGCUCAUAUACAGUACCAGUCAAAAGUUUGGACACCUACUUAUUCAAGGGUUUUUCUUUAUUAAUAACAAACUAUGAAAUAACACAUAUGGAAUCAUGUAGUAACCAAACAACUGUUAAAAAAUCAAAAUAUAUUUUAGAUUCUUCAAAGUAGCCACCCUUUGCCUUGACAGCUUUGCACACGCUUGGCAUUCUCUCAACCAGCUUCACCUGGAAUGCUUUCCCAACAGUUUUGAAGGAGUUCCUACAAAUGCUGAGCACUUGGCUGUUUUUCCUUCACUCUGCGGUCCAACUCAUCCCAAACCAUCUCAAUUGGGGUGAGGUCGGGUGAUUGUGGAGGUAAGGUCAUCUGAUGCAGCACUCUAUCACUCUCCUUCUUGGUCAAAUAGCCCUUACACAGCCUGGAGGUGUGUUGGGUCAUUGUCCUGUUGAAAAACAAGUGAUAGUCCCACUAAGUGCAAACCAGAUGGGAUGAUGUAUCGCUGCAAAAUGCUGUGGUAGCCAUGAUGGUUAAGUGUGCCUUGAAUUCUAAAUAAAUAAUUUGCAGUGUCACCAGCAAAGCACCCCCACACCUCCUCCUCAAUGCUUCACGAUGGGAACUACACAUGCAGAGAUCAUCCGUUCACCUACUCUGCGUUUCACGAAGAUACAGAGGUUGGAACAAAAAAUCUCAAAUUUGGACUCAUCAGACGAAAGGACAGAUUUCCACCGGUCUAAUGUCCAUUGCUCAUGUUUCUUGGCCUUCUUCAUUUUGGUGUCCUUUAGUCGUGGUUUCUUUGCAGCAAUUCGACCAUAAGGGCCUGAUUCAUGCAGUCUCCUCUGAACAGCUGAUGUUGAAAUGUGUCUGUAACUUGAACUCUGUGAAGCAUUUAUUUGGGCUGCAAUUUCUGAGGCUGGUAACUCUAAUGAACUUAUCCUCUGCAUCAGAGGUAACUCUGGGUCUUCCUUUCCUGUGGCGGUCCUCAUGAGAGCCAGUUUCAUCAUAGCACUUGAUGGUUUUUGCACUUGAAGAAACUUUCAAAGCUCUGGAAAUGUUCCGUAUUCACUGACCUUCAUGUCUUAAAAUAAUGAUGGACUGUCAUUUCUCUGCUUUUUUGAGCUGUUCUUGCUAUAAUAUGGACUUGGUCUUUUACCAAAUAGGACUAUCUUCUGUAUACCACCCCUACCUUGUCACAACACAACUGAUUGGCUCAAAUGCAUUAAGAAGGAAAGAAAUUCCACAACUUAACUUUUAACAAGGCACACCUGUUAAUUGAAAUACUAUUCCAGGUGACUACCUCAUGAAGCUGGUUGAGAGAAUGCCAAGAGUGUGCAAAGCUGUCAUCAAGGCAAAGG
Long non-coding RNA from Salvelinus fontinalis (brook trout), 2759 nucleotides. RefSeq lists it as uncharacterized. The transcript has 3 exons. Lineage: Eukaryota; Metazoa; Chordata; Actinopteri; Salmoniformes; Salmonidae. The record is from RefSeq and is a predicted model, not a curated record.